This 68-nucleotide transfer RNA is filed under the name Sylvicola fenestralis. Its description in RNAcentral is "tRNA-Asn". Lineage: Eukaryota; Metazoa; Arthropoda; Insecta; Diptera; Anisopodidae. The record is from RNAcentral.
UUAAUUGAAGCCAAAGAGGAGGCCUAUCACUGUUAAUGAUAUAAUUGAAUAUUUAUAUUCCAAUUAAG